Molecule: unclassified non-coding RNA, 263 nt
Filed under: uncultured fungus
Lineage: Eukaryota; Fungi
Description: sequence contains ITS2
Source: RNAcentral
AACGCACAUUGCGCCCUUUGGCAUUCCGAAGGGCAUGCCUGUUCGAGCGUCAUUAUCCUCUCUCAAACCUCGGGUUUGGUGUUGGACCGUGUUGGACCGCCUAUGGCCAACUGGUCUCAAAGACAAUGACGGCGUCCCAGGGACCCUCUUCGCACUGAGCUUUCCGGAGCACGCGUUGAGUUUCAAGGACCCCAGGACCCGGUCACCUCUAAAUUUUUCUUAAGGUUGACCUCGGAUCAGGUAGGAAUACCCGCUGAACUUAA